CGGGAGACGAAACUAUGGGUCCAGGUCUUACCUGACCCCUGAUACGGAUGCCACCCGUACCACACUGCGGGCUAUCUCUGGGUAUCCGAUGGAUCGGGUUGUUGAUGAGAUUGGACAGAAUCUAAGCAACGUGAGUGACCUUUUCUCUUUUAGUUAUUUUUAUGAGCGUGUUCUUACUUAUUCAUUCUUUUUGCAGCUUAACCAUUUGUUCCAGGGCCGCAUCUCUUCUCUAUCUCAUCUUCGUGACUCCCAGUCCAUGGAAGAUGAGUUGAAGAGAAUGAAGCGCCUGUGCAGAGACUUGGAAGGUGAGGUUGCCCAGAAGAUUUCAGACGCCUCAACCUUGUCUGAGACUAAUAAAAAGUUGGCUAAUGACUGGGCUGCUCAAAGAAACUCUCUGAAACAAAAAGAGCAGGACAUCUCUCAGCUUAGGGGAGAGUUGGGGGCUGCGAGGUUGGAACUUGCAGCUGAACGUGCCAAG
This 478-nucleotide long non-coding RNA is filed under the name Zostera marina. RNAcentral's name for it is "long non-coding RNA (ZMAR_LNC001384)". The record is from RNAcentral. Lineage: Eukaryota; Viridiplantae; Streptophyta; Magnoliopsida; Alismatales; Zosteraceae.